AUUGAACGCUGGCGGCAGGCUUAACACAUGCAAGUCGAGCGGGGGAGGUUGCUUCGGUAACUGACCUAGCGGCGGACGGGUGAGGAAUGCUUAGGAAUCGGCCUAUUAGUGGGGGACAACAUUCCGAAAGGAAUGCUAAUACAGCAUACGCUCUACGGGGGAAAGCAGAGCAUCUUCGGCCCUUGCGCUCAUAGAUGAGCAUAAGUCGGAUUAGCUAGUUGGUGGGGUAAAGGCCUACCAAGGCGACGAUCUGUAGCGGGUCUGAGAGGAUGAUCCGCCACACUGGGACUGAGACACGGCCCAGACUCCUACGGGAGGCAGCAGUGGGGAAUAUUGGACAAUGGGCGGAAGCCUGAUCCAGCCAUGCCGCGUGUGUGAAGAAGGCCUUUUGGUUGUAAAGCACUUUAAGCGAGGAGGAGGCUCUUAAGGUUAAUACCCUUGAUGAGUGGACGUUACUCGCAGAAUAAGCACCGGCUAACUCUGUGCCAGCCGCCGCGGUAA
RNAcentral lists this ribosomal RNA (501 nucleotides) under uncultured bacterium. RNAcentral describes it as "partial 16S ribosomal RNA". It matches the Rfam family "Bacterial small subunit ribosomal RNA", at positions 30 to 523 of the family's 1533-position model. The record is from RNAcentral.